This 586-nucleotide long non-coding RNA is filed under the name Gallus gallus (chicken). Lineage: Eukaryota; Metazoa; Chordata; Aves; Galliformes; Phasianidae. The record is from RNAcentral.
CUCUGACUCAACCUUUUGGCUGUCACUCACACACCUGCCUCAUCCUCCAAAAAAUGACUCAGCUCCUUUGGGUCAAGGCCACCCAGGACUCGGCCUUUCCUCGCUGUCCAGGUGGAAACAUGGCUGCUCCCGGCCGCCAGCCCGUUCACAAACCUACAGCAAAGGCAUGCUGCUGUCCUUGCCCGCGGUCUCUGCGCUCCUGCUGUCCCUCACUGUCUCUGCAGCAUGUCCAGCAGCCUCCAGCUUCUUUCUCUUCUUCAGGUGGUGUAGGUGGGCUUUGGAUCGUGUGUGAGCUGCCCACUCCCUGUCCCCGAUGAUGACUCUGUUGCACAGCUCACACACACGAUGGCUCCGUUUGUUCUCAUUCACGUCACACUCCAUCUUUACAGGCUCCACGGGCGGCUUGCGUCCCUGGAUGAAGCUCUCCACAAUCUCCAGAGCAGGCUUCAGCACAUCUUCUUCCCACCGCAGGAGAUCAGACACCUCCAAGCCAUACACUGGGGGCACAUUGGGGCCAGGACGUUUCAAGAAGCGGUUUCGGACCCAUUUGUUCUGCCUCCGGGCGUAUCUCUUGCUCACCUGUUUC